CCCUGGCCGGCUCAGUCCCUAGAACACAAGACUCUGGAUCUUGAGGUCGUGAGUUCAAGCCCCAUGCUGGGGG
This 73-nucleotide transfer RNA is filed under the name Ailuropoda melanoleuca (giant panda). It matches the Rfam family "tRNA". Rfam says of the family: Transfer RNA (tRNA) molecules are approximately 80 nucleotides in length. Their secondary structure includes four short double-helical elements and three loops (D, anti-codon, and T loops). The record is from Rfam by way of RNAcentral. Lineage: Eukaryota; Metazoa; Chordata; Mammalia; Carnivora; Ursidae.